AGUGAACGCUGGCGGUAGGCCUAACACAUGCAAGUCGAACGGCAGCACAGUAAGAGCUUGCUCUUACGGGUGGCGAGUGGCGGACGGGUGAGGAAUACAUCGGAAUCUACUUUUUCGUGGGGGAUAACGUAGGGAAACUUACGCUAAUACCGCAUACGACCUACGGGUGAAAGCAGGGGAUCUUCGGACCUUGCGCGAUUGAAUGAGCCGAUGUCGGAUUAGCUAGUUGGCGGGGUAAAGGCCCACCAAGGCGACGAGCCGUAGCUGGUCUGAGAGGAUGCUCAGCCACACUGGACCUGAACCGCGACCCAGCCCCGACGGGGAGGCACCAGGGGGGAUUGUUGGAGAGGGGGCGCAGCCCUGCCCCGCCCAACCCGGGUGGGGGAAAGGGCCCUUGGGUUAUAAAGCCUUUUUUGUUGGGAAAAAAAGACAGGGUGUCAAACCCCUGGUUUUUUGCCGGUACCAAAAGAAUAAGCACCGGCUAACUUCGUG
Molecule: ribosomal RNA, 492 nt
Filed under: uncultured bacterium
Lineage: Bacteria
Description: partial 16S ribosomal RNA
Rfam family: Bacterial small subunit ribosomal RNA
Source: RNAcentral